GAAAUUUUUAUUUUGUAACAUUAAUCUCUAUUUCUAGACACCGAGAUGUAGUAGUAGUGAUUGCUUGUUGGGUUAAGUUUCUUGUUGCCAUAUGAAGUGUAACUCUUUCUUAAGAGGUUCAGAGCAGAUUUGUCAUUUGAUGAUAGAUCUGCCUACUUUGUAACUCUACUUCUGGCCACUAUUUACUGGCAAAGAAUUCAUUCAAUGAAAUGAAGGCUGAAAUCAAAUUUAAA
RNAcentral lists this long non-coding RNA (233 nucleotides) under Arachis ipaensis. Its description in RNAcentral is "long non-coding RNA (AIPA_LNC001781)". Lineage: Eukaryota; Viridiplantae; Streptophyta; Magnoliopsida; Fabales; Fabaceae. The record is from RNAcentral.